This 523-nucleotide ribosomal RNA is filed under the name Haemophilus influenzae. RNAcentral's name for it is "bacterial SSU rRNA". It matches the Rfam family "Bacterial small subunit ribosomal RNA", at positions 784 to 1311 of the family's 1533-position model. The record is from RNAcentral. Lineage: Bacteria; Pseudomonadati; Pseudomonadota; Gammaproteobacteria; Pasteurellales; Pasteurellaceae.
ACCCUGGUAGUCCCGCUGUAAACGCUGUCGAUUUGGGGGUUGGGGUUUAACUCUGGCGCCCGUAGCUAACGUGAUAAAUCGACCGCCUGGGGAGUACGGCCGCAAGGUUAAAACUCAAAUGAAUUGACGGGGGCCCGCACAAGCGGUGGAGCAUGUGGUUUAAUUCGAUGCAACGCGAAGAACCUUACCUACUCUUGACAUCCUAAGAAGUUUGCAGAGAUGCGAAUGUGCCUUCGGGAACUUAGAGACAGGUGCUGCAUGGCUGUCGUCAGCUCGUGUUGUGAAAUGUUGGGUUAAGUCCCGCAACGAGCGCAACCCUUAUCCUUUGUUGCCAGCGAUACGGUCGGGAACUCAAAGGAGACUGCCAGUGAUAAACUGGAGGAAGGUGGGGAUGACGUCAAGUCAUCAUGGCCCUUACGAGUAGGGCUACACACGUGCUACAUGGCGUAUACAGAGGGAAGCGAAGCUGCGAGGUGGAGCGAAUCUCAUAAAGUACGUCUAAGUCCGGAUUGGAGUCUGCACU